RNAcentral lists this ribosomal RNA (403 nucleotides) under uncultured bacterium. RNAcentral's name for it is "bacterial SSU rRNA". It matches the Rfam family "Bacterial small subunit ribosomal RNA", at positions 356 to 773 of the family's 1533-position model. The record is from RNAcentral.
AGGGAAUUUUCCGCAAUGGGCGAAAGCCUGACGGAGCAACGCCGCGUGAGUGAAGACGGCCUUCGGGUUGUAAAACUCUGUUCUUGGGGAAGAAAAAAAUGACGGUACCCAAGGAGAAAGCCCCGGCUAACUACGUGCCAGCAGCCGCGGUAAUACGUAGGGGGCGAGCGUUAUCCGGAUUUAUUGGGCGUAAAGCGCGCGCAGGCGGUCAGGUAAGUCGGAUGUGAAAGGCUACGGCUCAACCGUAGAGCGGCAUCCGAAACUGUUUGACUUGAGUGCAGGAGAGGAGAGUGGAAUUCCCGGUGUAGCGGUGGAAUGCGUAGAGAUCGGGAGGAACACCAGUGGCGAAGGCGACUCUCUGGACUGUAACUGACGCUGAGGCGCGAAAGCGUGGGGAGCAAAC